Molecule: ribosomal RNA, 497 nt
Filed under: uncultured bacterium
Lineage: Bacteria
Description: partial 16S ribosomal RNA
Rfam family: Bacterial small subunit ribosomal RNA
Source: RNAcentral
GAUGAACGCUGGCGGCGUGCCUAAUACAUGCAAGUCGAGCGAACAGACGAGGAGCUUGCUCCUCUGACGUUAGCGGCGGACGGGUGAGUAACACGUGGAUAACCUACCUAUAAGACUGGGAUAACUUCGGGAAACCGGAGCUAAUACCGGAUAAUAUAUUGAACCGCAUGGUUCAAUAGUGAAAGACGGCUUUGCUUUCACCUAUAGAUGGAUCCGCGCGGCAUUAGCCAGUUGGUAAGGUAACGGCUUACCAAGGCAACGAUGCGUAGCCGACCUGGGAGGGUGACCGGCCACACUGGAACUGGGACACGGUCCGGACCCCUGCGGAGGGCGCCAGUAGGGAAUCUUCGGCAAUGAGCGAAAGCCUGACGGACCAACGCCGCGUGAGUGAUAAAGGUCUUCGGAUCGAAAAACUCUGUUAUUGGGGAAGAACAAAUGUGUAAGUAACGGUCCGCAUCUUGACGGUACCUAAUCAGAAAGCCACGGCUAACUACGUG